ACGUAAUAGAUACCCUGGUAGUCCACGCCCUAAACGAUGUCUACUAGUUGUUGGUGGAGUAAAAUCCAUGAGUAAACGCAGCUAAACGCGUAAAGUAGACCGCCUGGGGAGUACGGUCGCAAGAUUAAAACUCAAAUGAAUUGACGGGGGCCCGCACAAGCGGUGGAUUAUGUGGAUUAAAUUCGAUGCAACGCGAAAAACCUUGCCUGGCCUUGACAUGUAACGAACUUUCCAGAGAUGGAUUGGUGCUCGAAAGAGAACGUUAACACAGGUGCUGCAUGGCUGUCGUCAGCUCGUGUCGUGAGAUGUUGGGUUAAGUCCCGCAACGAGCGCAACCCUUGCCAUUAAUUGCCAUCAUUUAGUUGGGCACUUUAAUGGGACUGCCGGUGACAAACCGGAGGAAGGUGGGGAUGACGUCAAGUCCUCAUGGCCCUUAUGGCCAGGGCUUCACACGUAAUACAAUGGUCGGUACAGAGGGUUGCCAACCCGCAGGGGGAGCCAAUCCCAGAAAAGCCGAUCGUAGUCCGGAUUGUAGUCUGCAACUCGAC
RNAcentral lists this ribosomal RNA (548 nucleotides) under uncultured bacterium. Its description in RNAcentral is "bacterial SSU rRNA". It matches the Rfam family "Bacterial small subunit ribosomal RNA", at positions 774 to 1316 of the family's 1533-position model. The record is from RNAcentral.